Mycoplasma sp. (ex Biomphalaria glabrata) is the source of this 73-nucleotide transfer RNA. It matches the Rfam family "tRNA". From Rfam's summary of the family: Transfer RNA (tRNA) molecules are approximately 80 nucleotides in length. Their secondary structure includes four short double-helical elements and three loops (D, anti-codon, and T loops). The record is from Rfam. Lineage: Bacteria; Bacillati; Mycoplasmatota; Mollicutes; Mycoplasmatales; Mycoplasmataceae.
AGGGGUAUAGUUCAAUUGGUAGAACGGCGGACUUCAAAUCCGCGUGUUGUGGGUUCGAGUCCUGCUACCCCUG